RNAcentral lists this long non-coding RNA (1523 nucleotides) under Mytilus galloprovincialis (Mediterranean mussel). The record is from RNAcentral. Lineage: Eukaryota; Metazoa; Mollusca; Bivalvia; Mytilida; Mytilidae.
AAUGGACGUACUCACUAGUGAAACACUCUUGUAAACUCUACAUCGCUUGAAUUUGUUUAAGUUUUAUACAAGAAAAUGAAUUUAAUAAACACAAAAUGUUUAUGCUUUUUGCUGAUUUGUUGGACAAUAAUAGUAGAUACCUAUCAGAAACGUAAGUUAUAAAACACUUCAUGUCAUUGGUAUCAUUGUAAUAUCAUUUAGUAAACGAUAUAUCAAGAUAAAUUUGAUGGAAUAUCUUUUUCUAUGAAUAGACUUUAAGACAAAUUCCUUUGAAUUUUGUAUUUGUAUUGAAAUACAUGCAACCAUUGCUUGCAGGGUGGCAAAAACUUCUUUACAUUAAACUGGUAAGGGCAGAUUAUGGCCUCAAAUUUCAAGUUUCAUUUGAUAACAGAUUUUGGACACUUUUUAAAAUAUUACGUACCUAUUUCAGUAGAUUCAAUUAGUUUAUUUGAAAGAUUUUUACUGAUUUAGUCAUUAAAAACACCCCGAUUCAAGUUUAAAUCUGAAAAAUCUAUCAAAUAUGCCAAAAAAUGUCACUUUUCAGAUGGUUUUUGCAAAAAUGAAAGUGGCCGCAUCCUGUUCAUCCUCAACCUUUAUAUAUGUUAUGUAUUAUCAUCAAAUACAACUUACAUUCCAAUAUUAAGAAUGAACACAAAUGCGGCCACUUUCAUUUAAGACGGAAACCGUCAAACAUUUAACUAAAAUGCUAAAAUUGUGAAGAUUUCAGUAAUUUAGCAUAAGUUAAUGAUGCUAGUACCCGAUAUAUGUGCGUUGUAUUGAUGUAGCAGAAGCUUCGACUUUCCAAAAAAUAUCUAACAGUUUACAUUUUAACAAUUUUGUAAAACUGCUAUAUUUUGGGGACAAAAAGAGGUCUUAUGAACCUACUCCUUUAAAAGAAGUAGGUCCAGUUAGACCCUUUUUGGACCCAAAAUAUAGCAGUUUUACAAAAUUGUUAUGUGUAAACUUUUAGCUAUUUAUUGGAAAGAAAAAUACUUCUGCUACAUACAAAUGGGCUUUUUUGACAAUACAAUCCACACAUAUCGGGUACUAGCAUUAUUAAGUCAUGCUAAAUUACUGAUAUAUUCACAAUUUUAGCAUUUGAAAUAAACUGUAGAUAGUUUCCGUUUUAAAUGGAAGUGGCCGCAUUUGUAUUCAUUCUUUAAACAUAUUUUAGGGUAAGUUGUAAUUGAUGAUAAUACAUUACAUAUACAAAGGUUGAGAGUGAACACGGAGGAGACCACUUUCAUUUUUUACAAAAAAAACAUCUGAAAAGUGACGUAUUAUGGCAUAUUUGAUAGAUUUUUCCUUUUUUAUGCUUGAAUUUGAACGUAUUCAAUGACUAAAUCCUUCAAAAUCUUUCACAUAAACUAAUUGAAUCGACUGAAGUAGACACUAGUGUUUAAAAAUGUCAAAAAUCUUUUCAGAUGAACCUGAAAAUUGACGCCAAAAUUGGUUCUUACCGGACCUACUCCUUUAGCGCUCAACAUACGGUCCUCAAUUAUUGACAAGUAUUAUGGAAAGGA